Cervus elaphus (red deer) is the source of this 3206-nucleotide long non-coding RNA. RefSeq lists it as uncharacterized. The record is from RefSeq and is a predicted model, not a curated record. The transcript is spliced from 3 exons. NCBI's taxonomy places the organism in Eukaryota, Metazoa, Chordata, Mammalia, Artiodactyla, Cervidae.
GAGAGAGGGGGGGGAGGGGAGGUAAAAGUGUUGUUUACUAGUAAUAAUGUAAUCUAAGGCCAAAGGGCUUUUUACAGGUUUGAUGUUUAGCGCAGGGUGGGGGUGGAGAAUAUUUCACGUUUUGUAGGAAAAAUAAUCCAAACCCAUUUACUUUAGAAAUGAUGCUCCUCUUCAAAAAUAAAGCUAAAUGAAGGUAGUAUAUACCUCUAUGGGAAACAAAAUACUCUUUUCUAGGAGAAAGAGGGAUCUGAAAGAUCAACCUAAUUUGAAAAUAUUUUAGAAAAAUUUUCACAGAAAGGUUAGAAUUUUGAUCACACAAAAAUGUUUUUUUUUUUUUUAUUAUAAAAGCGUUUAAAAAAAAAAAACUCUGUGGGAAAGGAUCUCUGCUUUAAAAGCCCAACUUCAGUGGCUAAUAUAUUCAUUAGAAAUCAUGAAAUAACUCAGAUUGCUGACAUUUUUUCCCCAAAUCAGUGGAUUUCCCAUCAUAGAUAAUCACUGAUGGCAUUUUGGAGUACUUCCUUGGGUUAGGCGUUAGGCUGGCCACAGAAGAUCUAAAUACCCUAAGAGGAUCCUGCCCACAAGAAGCUUGCAGUGAAGAGAGACAAACGAAUACAGUUCAAGGUACUGGGGUCUCAGGCCCCUGUGAUCUACAGAGCGCCGUGAUCUCAGACUCUAAAAUGAAGCACCCCACGUGGUUCAGCACCAUGGAGAGCGUGAGGAAGAGGCACUACCAACAUAUCCUGGUCAUACAGGUGGGGGAAAGAUUGCUCCUGAAAUAGUUGCUGGACAAUUUUCACUUAAAGGACAGUAUUGUAAUGAAGAAAAGUGGGAUCUUGAUUCUCUGAUAUUUGUGAGAAGUUAUUUUUCUGGACAUUGUGUCAGUUUUUUUCUAAACCUUCUUCAUCAAAUUCUAUGUAAUUUAAGACAAGAAUACACCCAGAGUAGGUAGAACCAGACACUGCCAGUACAAAACAUCUUAUGAAGUUUCAUGUUUAUGAUGUGAGGCCUUUUAUGUAAAUUUUCAAAUUUUUUAACAGUUAGGAGGCUUACCCACCUACCAUAGAAGAGAAUGAAAUCAUUCAGAGAUACAUGAAGUUGAGGAUGGGUAAUCAGAGGAUUGUGUGAAGGCUCCCGUCUUAUGUUUCUAGAACUGCCCUGGGAACUUGCAGCUUGUCCUUCAGAUCUGUGAACUACCUAGAAUCCUUUCAGUAGUUUUCCUCCUCUCCCCUUUUAAUUUUCCAUAAGCUAGAUUCAUUUGAGUUUUGUUACUUGCAACUGAAUGUGUCCUAGCACCGCAGAUAUGUAGGAUGAGAUGGAUAAAUGAGAAGAAAGGUAAUUCUAGGCUAGAAGCAAAACAAGUUUACAGCAAGGAAGCAGGGAUAUAACCUGGGAUUUUCUGGGACAGUGAGAAAAUGAGCUUAAGAAAAUUGAAGUGGUUUAUAAGGAAUGUAUUUAAAUAACUUCUCUGUACUAGAACUGAGCAAGAGUAUAUUAAUCUUUCAGCUCUUCAGAAGGCAGUUGAACAAGAGCUAUACAAAUUUUGAAUGCAUGUGCCAUUUGACCCAGCAAUUCCACUUACAGAAGUGAAUUCUGUGGAAAUAAUUGUUCAUGGAUAUUCAUUGAAAUUUGUCUUGUCAUAGAAAAUGACUGAAAACAACGUACAUGUCCAUCAAUAGUGAACUUAUUAAAUAAGUUAUUCCAUAUUUGAGUGUUGAAAUACUGCAUAGCCAUUAAAGAUAAUUUAGGAAACUUAUUUGUAUCACUGUGAAACAAUUCUCACGGGAAAAAAAAGUCAAGGUACAAAACUGUAUUACAAAUGCUCUCAUUUGUGUUUUUUAAAAAUCACAGGUGUAUUUUUGUACAUAGACGAACUCUAGAAGGGCAAACAAAUCUUAGCAAUGGUUUUCUCUGGGAAAGGGACUCUGUUUUCCCAUAUUCUCUUAUAGUGCUGGUUUGUUUUUUCAACUACAUUCUUGUAUUACUACUGGAAUUAAACCAUGAUAUUUAAUAUAACAAGUGUAGAACAAGGAAAACUUUAAGAACAUGCAACGGUUAUCACUUGCUUAGGAAUUUCUAUAUAGCCAUUGUUUUAAGCCCUUUAAUAUGCUUUCUCAUUCAGUCCUCACAGCAACCCUAUAAGAAAAAUGUGUUUCUCAAAUUGCACUUGACGUUGCUGCAAAUAAGGCUCAAAGAAUCUUAAUUCAAAGUGCCAUAAUUCCAAACCCUGGCUCCAGAGCUUUUAUCUUUAACCAUUCCACCCCUUUGCCUCCAUGAGUUGCUCCUGACUUUCCUGUAAUACACCCAAGGACAGAUUUCUGUGGCUGAAAAGCUAAACUUCCUUGUAGACAGCCUAUCAGUGGCAUCCAGUAAGGAUUUCUUCAUAAUGACAAUAAAACAAAGUAGAACAAGCUUACCCUUCUGUACCAGGAGCUUAGAUUCGGGGUAGAGGUUUUCUUAAACUGAUAGUUAAAGUAAAUGCCACUUUGUAAAUUUCUUUAGAGAGCAAUGAACGAUAAUAGUUUCUCCAGCAGUUGGAGCCAUUAAAUUGUUUAAUCUGGGUAAUGACAAAGUUGGACUUCGUAGUUAGAUCACUCUUGUAGUUUUGGAGGAUGGACUUAGAAGAGAAAAGUUUAGAGGCAGAGAGGUAAUUGACAUGGAAAUUUAUUAGGCAUCUACACAGCACUCACUUUCUUCAUCUCCUGCCAAGAGCACCCUGAUCCUCUGUGGAUUAAUUCAUAGAAGGUGAUUAAUUUAAGCCUUCCUUAGAACUGAAUUGUCUUGUUCAAUUGGCUCUGCCACUUACCAUCAUUGUAAAUGUUGAUAACUUAUCUAACCUGCCUCAUGUCUCAAGUAUUAAAAACAUGGGAAUAAUAAUGGUUAUCUCAUUGGGCCAUUGUGAGAUUUUAAACAGAUAGUUCCUGUAUUACCAAUGCUUUAUAAAUAUUAGUCACCAUCAUUAUUGUUGUCUUAGCCAUGUAUUUUGAAUGGGAUUACUCCCACCAGUAAUCUCUCUCAUCUUUAAUCCCUCAUCCCUUGCAGAACAGGGCCUACCAUGCAGUGGUGAGAAUCAUAGAAAUUUUAUCCUUCAAGAAGGGGUAAGAGUUUGCUAGGUCAACUCUCACCUUAACUUACUUUAUUUUUCUUAAGUAUCACAAGUUACGUUAAAUAUGUAUGCAUGUGUGCUAAGUCAUUUCAGUCGUGUCUGA